Molecule: ribosomal RNA, 449 nt
Filed under: uncultured bacterium
Lineage: Bacteria
Description: bacterial SSU rRNA
Rfam family: Bacterial small subunit ribosomal RNA
Source: RNAcentral
CCUACGGGGUGCAGCAGUGGGGAAUAUUGCACAAUGGGCGCAAGCCUGAUGCAGCCAUGCCGCGUGUAUGAAGAAGGCCUUCGGGUUGUAAAGUACUUUCAGCGGGGAGGAAGGUGUUGAGGUUAAUAACCUCAGCAAUUGACGUUACCCGCAGAAGAAGCACCGGCUAACUCCGUGCCAGCAGCCGCGGUAAUACGGAGGGUGCAAGCGUUAAUCGGAAUUACUGGGCGUAAAGCGCACGCAGGCGGUCUGUCAAGUCGGAUGUGAAAUCCCCGGGCUCAACCUGGGAACUGCAUUCGAAACUGGCAGGCUAGAGUCUUGUAGAGGGGGGUAGAAUUCCAGGUGUAGCGGUGAAAUGCGUAGAGAUCUGGAGGAAUACCGGUGGCGAAGGCGGCCCCCUGGACAAAGACUGACGCUCAGGUGCGAAAGCGUGGGGAGCAAACAGGAUU